RNAcentral lists this ribosomal RNA (441 nucleotides) under uncultured bacterium. RNAcentral describes it as "partial 16S ribosomal RNA". It matches the Rfam family "Bacterial small subunit ribosomal RNA", at positions 338 to 795 of the family's 1533-position model. The record is from RNAcentral.
CCUACGGGUGGCAGCAGUGGGGAAUUUUGCGCAAUGGGGGAAACCCUGACGCAGCGACGCCGCGUGAUCGAUGAAGCCCUUCGGGGUGUAAAGAUCUGUCAGUGGGGACGAAACCUGACGGUACCCACAGAGAAAGCACCGGCUAACUCCGUACCAGCAGCCGCGGUAAUACGGGGGGGGCAAGCGUAGUCCGGAAUGAUUGGGCGUAAAGGGGUCGUAGGUGGCAGGUUAAGUCUGUGGUGAAAGGCGGAGGCUCAACUUCCGUAUGGCAGUGGAUACUGGCGAGCUUGAGUGCGGUAGAGGUAAAGGGAAUUCCUGGUGUAGCGGUGAAAUGCGUAGAUAUCAGGAGGAACAUCGGUGGCGAAGGCGCUUUACUGGGCCGUAAUUGACACUGAGGAACGAAAGCCGGGGUAGCAAACGGGAUUAGAUACCCCAGUAGUC